GUAGUGCAUCAGAUGCCAUUUGUAUCGCUGGUAUUACAGAAAUGGCAACUCACCUGGGUAUAAACAUGUCAUGCUGAUGUCUGAACAAACUUCUAUUUGGGUCCUUGCAGGGAACCGAGACAUCAGACGUGGAUGGAUGCUGCAAGACCUGUGAGCACAGUAACUGUGUUCGAGUGAGGAAUACCACCCAAAUCCAUGUGAAAGGCUGCACCUCCAUUGGGCCUAUAGAAGUGACUUCCUGCAGUGGCCACUGUGACAGCCAGUCAAUGUAUUCAAUGGAGGCUAAUAAAAUGAUUCACAGCUGCUCUUGUUGCCGAGAGAGUAAAAUCAGUACUAAACAAGUGAAGCUGAAGUGUCCCGAUAACAGCGAGAUCAUGUACAACUACGGCUACACUGAGAGCUGUGAAUGCACACCAACAAAGUGCAUAGACUAGAAUGCUUCUCGCAUAAAAUGUCUUUCAGUUUUUGCCUUGAUUACUGUUGAUUUAAACAUUACCUGUUAAAUAAGAAAGCUAUUAAAAAUUAAUGUAAGCCAUUGUUGUGCAUAAUUAACAAACGUUACUUUGGUGAAAAAUUCCACUAUACAGCUUUUUGUUU
Molecule: non-coding RNA, 597 nt
Organism: Misgurnus anguillicaudatus (oriental weatherfish)
Lineage: Eukaryota; Metazoa; Chordata; Actinopteri; Cypriniformes; Cobitidae
Source: RefSeq, a predicted model, not a curated record